RNA transcript from Nomascus leucogenys (northern white-cheeked gibbon), 747 nucleotides. It is a transcript of the gene named glutaredoxin-1 pseudogene, with no coding region annotated. Lineage: Eukaryota; Metazoa; Chordata; Mammalia; Primates; Hylobatidae. The transcript has a single exon. The record is from RefSeq and is a predicted model, not a curated record.
AUGGCUCAAGAGUUUGUGAACUGCAAAAUCCAGCCUGGGAAGGUGGUUGUGUUCAUCAAGCGCACCUGCCGGUACUGCAGGAGGGCCCAAGAGAUCCUCAGUCAAUUGCCCAUCAAACAAGGGCUUCUGGAAUUUGUUGAUAUCACAGCCACCAACCACACUAACGAGAUUCAAGAUUAUUUGUAACGGCUCACAGGAGCAAGAACGGUGCCUCGAGUCUUUAUCGGUAAAGAUUGUAUAGGCGGAUGCAGUGAUCUAGUCUCUUUGCAACAGAGUGGGGAACUGCUGACGCGGCUAAAGCAGAUUGGAGCUCUGCAGUAACCACAGAUCUCAUAGGAAAUGUUCAACAAUUCUGUGAAAGGUCACAGGACCCAACUGGAGAAAUCAUGUGAAAAGCAUAGUUGGUCUUGGUGUCAUAUGGAUCAGAGGCACAAGUGCAGAGGCUGUGGUCAUGCGGAACACUCUGUUAUUUAAGAUGGCUAUCCAGAUAAUCCUGAACACUGUGUAUUUAUUUGAUCUAGACUACCAGCGAAGAUUAAAGCAUGCAAUGUAAAACAUCUGAGAAAACUUACAGCCCCCUACACCAAGAGUGUAUCUGUCAAACAGCUCCUACACUUCGAAAACUUAAGAAUCCCUUAUCAUGAAGUUUGCCUGUUCUAGAAUUGUAAGAUUGUUAAUUUCCUUCAGUCUCUAGUGACAACACUUAAUUUCUUUUCUAAUAAAAAAAUACCUAUAGAUGAAAAAAAA